This 750-nucleotide ribosomal RNA is filed under the name Rhizophydium sp. JEL08. Its description in RNAcentral is "partial 28S ribosomal RNA". It matches the Rfam family "Eukaryotic large subunit ribosomal RNA", at positions 107 to 858 of the family's 3401-position model. Lineage: Eukaryota; Fungi; Chytridiomycota; Chytridiomycetes; Rhizophydiales; Rhizophydiaceae. The record is from RNAcentral.
GCUCAAAUUUGAAACUCUAGCGCAUGCUGCGAAUUGUAGUUUAGAGAAACGUUUUCGGGGCCGGCAGCCAGUACAAGUUCUUUUGGAACAAGGCAUCACAGAGGGUGAAAAUCCCGUCUUUGACUGGCAGCUUGGUUCCAUGUGAUACGUUUUCCAAGAGUCGGUUUGUUUGGGAAUGCAGACCAAAAUGGGUGGUAAAUACCAUCUAAAGCUAAAUAUUGGCGAGAGACCGAUAGCGAACAAGUACCGUGAGGGAAAGAUGAAAAGAACUUUGAAAAGAGAGUUAAACAGUGCGUGAAAUUGUCAAAAGGGAAACGUUUAAAACCAGUAUUGCGGGCAGAAACUCAGGUUCCAUUUAUGGGGCUGUAUUUUUCUGUCGGCGAGUCAACAUCAGUUUUGCUUGGAGUAAAACGCUAGAGGAAGGUGGCCUUCGGGUGUUAUAGCCUCUAGUAAUGCUCUGGGCGGGACUGAGGACUGCAGCGUUCUUUGGGUUUACCACACCAACGCUUAGGAUGUUGACGAAAUGGUUUUAAGCGACCCGUCUUGAAACACGGACCAAGGAGUCUAACAUAUAUGCGAGUAUUUGGGUGGCAAACCCUUAUGCGUAAUGAAACUGAUAAGGUGGGAUCCUUUGCUGGUGCACCAUCUGACCGCGCCAGAUUAUUGCUAUCUCGGCGUGAGUAUAUGACGCAUAUCAUGUUGGGACCCGAAAGAUGGUGAACUAUGCCUGAAUAGGGUGAAUGCCAGAGG